RNAcentral lists this ribosomal RNA (497 nucleotides) under uncultured bacterium. RNAcentral's name for it is "partial 16S ribosomal RNA". It matches the Rfam family "Bacterial small subunit ribosomal RNA", at positions 28 to 507 of the family's 1533-position model. The record is from RNAcentral.
GACGAACGCUGGCGGCGUGCCUAAUACAUGCAAGUUGAGCGCUGAAGGCUGGUACUUGUACCAACUGGAUGAGCAGCGAACGGGUGAGUAACGCGUGGGGAAUCUGCCUUUGAGCGGGGGACAACAUUUGGAAACGAAUGCUAAUACCGCAUAAAAACUUUAAACACAAGUUUUAAGUUUGAAAGAUGCAAUUGCAUCACUCAAAGAUGAUCCCGCGUUGUAUUAGCUAGUUGGUGAGGUAAAGGCCCACCAAGGCGAUGAUACAUAGCCGACCUGAGAGGGUGAUCGGCCACAUUGGGACUGGGACACGGCCCAAACUCCUACGGGAGGCAGCAGUAGGGAAUCUUCGGCAAUGGACGAAAGUCUGACCGAGCAACGCCGCGUGAGUGAAGAAGGUUUUCGGAUCGUAAAACUCUGUUGGUAGAGAAGAACGUUGGUGAGAGUGGAAAGCUCAUCAAGUGACGGUAACUACCCAGAAAGGGACGGCUAACUACGUG